UUUAUUUCUUUUAUAAUUAAGUUGUUUUUGUUUUUCUUAACAAGCCCUAACCCUAGCCAGUGAGCUUUGACAAGCUGUAACUUUUGAUCCAACCAUCCACUUAGUGUGAAAUUUUGCACCCAAAUACCAGUAUAAGCCUUCUAUAUGCUCAUAAAAUUUCAGCCCAACCCAACUUACAGAUUGCAAGAAAACGCCCAAAAACCGCACAGAUGAUACUCGGCCGCAACCUUGAAAUUUGAUGUAGAAACUCCAGAAGUGAUUUCUCCUUUGUCAACCGUUAACUCUAGCUCAAAAUUGAAAAGCCGCUUGAUCUCCAAAUCUUCUAUUACCAAGCCAAAAAUUACGUCGAUCCAACUAGUAGAUCUUCAGAUAUCACAGAAAUCCUAUCCAACCCUAGACUGCUAACUUACGACAACCCUUUGUACUAAAACCAAGAUAUUUCUUGAUUGCAUCGUUAGAUUAACACAAAUUUUUGUAUACACUUAGCACACCCAACUAUCCAGACAAUACCAAAUUUUGACCCAUAGAUGCUACAUGACUUGCACAAACCAAUUGAGAAUGCAAACUAUCAAUGUUUUAUAUAAAAUCCGAAACACCAAAAUAAACACUGACUUUGAGCAGCGAUUGCUCUCCCCUCACAAAUCCUAAUGAAACUGAACUAGUGACCUUGAAAAGAGCUUGAAGCU
Molecule: long non-coding RNA, 686 nt
Filed under: Physcomitrium patens
Lineage: Eukaryota; Viridiplantae; Streptophyta; Bryopsida; Funariales; Funariaceae
Description: long non-coding RNA (PPAT_LNC010930)
Source: RNAcentral